This 230-nucleotide long non-coding RNA is filed under the name Brassica napus (rape). RNAcentral describes it as "long non-coding RNA (BNAP_LNC018697)". Lineage: Eukaryota; Viridiplantae; Streptophyta; Magnoliopsida; Brassicales; Brassicaceae. The record is from RNAcentral.
AUUUUUGCGAACGCUUUUAAGCGAGUUUGCAAAACGUUUUUCUCGAGACUUAUAUCGAUAUGAUUUGGUUCAAACACUAAAAAUGAAAAUCGAUUUUAGACUAUUAUUUUUUGCUUAAAAAUAAUAUGUUAUUUGUUGAUUGGAGUACUAAUCCGUCUUCAUGUUUUCUCUAGAAACAAAAUGAUGAACGAUAACAACACCCCCAUUGACACCACUGAUGUCACAACAAC